UUUCUCCUUAUGAUGAAACAUUUUCGGAUGUAAACAGCCUAUAGGCUAUUGUCCAAGAGCGCAUAAAAUCGUGUGGAUAUUUCCGUUGCCUUCCUUCUGAUCAUUUUAU
RNAcentral lists this small nucleolar RNA (109 nucleotides) under Cryptococcus depauperatus CBS 7841. RNAcentral describes it as "Small nucleolar RNA Z13/snr52". It matches the Rfam family "Small nucleolar RNA Z13/snr52". From Rfam's summary of the family: Z13 or snr52 is a member of the C/D class of snoRNA which contain the C (UGAUGA) and D (CUGA) box motifs. Most of the members of the box C/D family function in directing site-specific 2'-O-methylation of substrate RNAs. The record is from Rfam by way of RNAcentral. Lineage: Eukaryota; Fungi; Basidiomycota; Tremellomycetes; Tremellales; Cryptococcaceae.